RNAcentral lists this ribosomal RNA (408 nucleotides) under uncultured bacterium. RNAcentral describes it as "partial 16S ribosomal RNA". It matches the Rfam family "Bacterial small subunit ribosomal RNA", at positions 28 to 526 of the family's 1533-position model. The record is from RNAcentral.
GACGAACGCUGGCGGCGUGCUUAACACAUGCAAGUCGAACGAAGUGGCGAACGGGUGAGUAACGCGUAAUCAACCUGCCCUUCAGAGGGGGACAACAGUUGGAAACGACUGCUAAUACCGCAUACUGAAGGAGGGGAUUGCGUCUGAUUAGCUAGUUGGAGGGGUAACGGCCCACCAAGGCGAUGAUCAGUAGCCGGUGUGAGAGGAUGAACGGCCACAUUGGGACUGAGACACGGCCCAGACUCCUACGGGAGGCAGCAGUGGGGAAUCUUCCGCAAUGGACGAAAGUCUGACGGAGCAACGCCGCGUGAACGAAGAAGGUCUUCGGAUUGUAAAGUUCUGUGAUUCGGGACGCGGUACCGAAAAAGCAAGCCACGGCUAACUACGUGCCAGCAGCCGCGGUAAUAC